UCUGGGAGUAAACGGGUGGUACCCGAAAGUUCGAAAGGGGAGAUUCAAGUCUCGCCGCGCGCCGGGCGGCGGACGCGACCAGAGAUGGCGUUUUCGCGAUCGGGGGGCAACUCCCGUUCCGGAGGCGCCACUCCGCGGCCGCCGUCUGUCCCGGCGUCGGAGUGACGCACUUCUCCCCGAGUAGGACGUCGCGACCCGUCGAGCGCCGGUCUAAGGUCCCGGGAGGAGUCUGUGCAGCCUGCCUGUGCCGGCUGCGCACGACCCCGGGAUUCCCGGCCGGGUGCACGACGGUACGAAGCAUGGAAGGAGUCGACGCGCCACUCACGUUGGCGUCCGGCCCUCCGCAAGCGCCCGCGGGAGUCCGGGUUGCGGGCCCGGCCCGAUUCCGGUCCCUCCGCGGGGCUGUUUGCGACUAGGAGGUGCCCUCGGACGGCGUUGAUUCUCCAGUCGGCGACGCUAGAGCUUGGAUGGCCUACCCGACCC
Molecule: ribosomal RNA, 483 nt
Filed under: Epigomphus subobtusus
Lineage: Eukaryota; Metazoa; Arthropoda; Insecta; Odonata; Gomphidae
Description: eukaryotic LSU rRNA
Source: RNAcentral